UACGUAGGGGGCGAGCGUUGUCCGGAGUUACUGGGCGUAAAGCGCACGCAGGCGGUCUGUUACGUUUGGAGUGACAGUUGGUGGCUCAACCACCAAAGUGCUUUGAAAACUGAUAGACUUGAGGGCUUCAGAGGGACACGGAAUUCCGGGUGGAGUGGUGAAAUGCGUAGAGAUCCGGAGGAACACCAAAGGCGAAGGCAGUGUCCUGGGGAGUACCUGACGCUCAGGUGCGAAAGCCAGGGGAGCGAACGGG
RNAcentral lists this ribosomal RNA (253 nucleotides) under uncultured bacterium. RNAcentral's name for it is "partial 16S ribosomal RNA". It matches the Rfam family "Bacterial small subunit ribosomal RNA", at positions 524 to 776 of the family's 1533-position model. The record is from RNAcentral.